GCCAGGUAUAGUGGGGUGUGUGCCUGUAAUCCUGGCUACUUGGGAGGCUGAGGCAGGAGGAUCACUUGAGCCCGGGAGUUUGAGGCUGCAGUGGGCUGUGAUCAGGGCACUGCACUCAGCCUGGGCAACAGAGUGAGACCCUGUCUCAA
Molecule: non-coding RNA, 149 nt
Filed under: Gorilla gorilla gorilla (western lowland gorilla)
Lineage: Eukaryota; Metazoa; Chordata; Mammalia; Primates; Hominidae
Source: Rfam by way of RNAcentral